This 687-nucleotide ribosomal RNA is filed under the name uncultured Bacteroidales bacterium. RNAcentral's name for it is "bacterial SSU rRNA". It matches the Rfam family "Bacterial small subunit ribosomal RNA", at positions 65 to 740 of the family's 1533-position model. Lineage: Bacteria; Pseudomonadati; Bacteroidota; Bacteroidia; Bacteroidales. The record is from RNAcentral.
AGGGGCAUCAGUUUGGUUUGCCUGCAAACCAAAGCUGGCGACCGGCGCACGGGUGAGUAACACGUAUCCAACCUGCCUCAUACUCGGGGAUAGCCUUUCGAAAGAAAGAUUAAUAUCCGAUAGCAUAUAUUUCCCGCAUGGGUUUUAUAUUAAAGAAAUUCGGUAUGAGAUGGGGAUGCGUUCCAUUAGUUUGUUGGCGGGGUAACGGCCCACCAAGACUACGAUGGAUAGGGGUUCUGAGAGGAAGGUCCCCCACAUUGGAACUGAGACACGGUCCAAACUCCUACGGGAGGCAGCAGUGAGGAAUAUUGGUCAAUGGACGCGAGUCUGAACCAGCCAAGUAGCGUGAAGGAUGACUGCCCUAUGGGUUGUAAACUUCUUUUAUAUGGGAAUAAAGUGGUCCACGUGUGGAUUUUUGUAUGUACCAUAUGAAUAAGGAUCGGCUAACUCCGUGCCAGCAGCCGCGGUAAUACGGAGGAUCCGAGCGUUAUCCGGAUUUAUUGGGUUUAAAGGGAGCGUAGGCGGAUUGUUAAGUCAGUUGUGAAAGUUUGCGGCUCAACCGUAAAAUUGCAGUUGAUACUGGCAGUCUUGAGUGCAGUAGAGGUGGGCGGAAUUCGUGGUGUAGCGGUGAAAUGCUUAGAUAUCACGAAGAACUCCGAUUGCGAAGGCAGCUCACUGGAGUGUAAC